ACGGGAGGCAGCAGUGAGGAAUAUUGGUCAAUGGGCGGAAGCCUGAACCAGCCAUCUCGCGUGCAGGACUACGGCCCUACGGGUCUUAAACUGCUUUUAUGGGGGGAUAAAGUCGGGCAUUCGUGCCCGUUUGCAGGUACCCCAUGAAUAAGGAUCGGCUAACUCCGUGCCAGCAGCCGCGGUAAUACGGAGGAUCCGAGCGUUAUCCGGAUUUAUUGGGUUUAAAGGGUGCGCAGGCGGCCCGUUAAGUCAGCGGUGAAAUGUCGGGGCUCAACCCGGGCACUGCCGUUGAAACUGGGGGGCUUGAGUACGGAUGAGGUCGGCGGAAUGUGUGGUGUAGCGGUGAAAUGCAUAGAUAUCACACAGAACACCGAUUGCGAAGGCAGGAUACCAUACCAUAUCUGACGCUCAGGCACGAAAGCGUGGGGAUCGAACAGGAUUAGAUACCCUGGUA
RNAcentral lists this ribosomal RNA (454 nucleotides) under uncultured Parabacteroides sp. Its description in RNAcentral is "partial 16S ribosomal RNA". It matches the Rfam family "Bacterial small subunit ribosomal RNA", at positions 341 to 792 of the family's 1533-position model. Lineage: Bacteria; Pseudomonadati; Bacteroidota; Bacteroidia; Bacteroidales; Tannerellaceae. The record is from RNAcentral.